Brassica oleracea var. oleracea is the source of this 84-nucleotide small nucleolar RNA. It matches the Rfam family "Small nucleolar RNA snoR17". Lineage: Eukaryota; Viridiplantae; Streptophyta; Magnoliopsida; Brassicales; Brassicaceae. The record is from Rfam.
UAUAGUGAUGAAUUUAAUCACAAUUGUCACUACCUCUGAGGCAUAUUAUUCUCGUUUUUGUUACUUAUAUGUUUAAGCCUGGUU